Molecule: ribosomal RNA, 422 nt
Filed under: uncultured archaeon
Lineage: Archaea
Description: bacterial SSU rRNA
Rfam family: Archaeal small subunit ribosomal RNA
Source: RNAcentral
UCAGCCGCCGCGGUAAUGCCAGCAGCCCAAGUGGUGGUCGCGUUUAUUGGCCUAAAGCGCUCGUAGCCUGGCCGGUAAGUUCCCCGUGAAAUCGGGUCGCCCAACGAUUCGGCUUGCGGGGAAUACUGUCGGUCUUGGGGCCGGGAGACGCCGAGGGUACUCCGGGGGUAGCGGUGAGAUGCUGUAAUCCUCGGGGGACUACCAGUGGCGAAGGCGCUCGGCGAUAACGGGCCUGACGGUGAGGGGCGAAAGCUGGGGGCGCGAACGGGAUUAGAUACCCCGGUAGUCCCAGCCGUAAAGGAUGCGGGCAAGGUGCUCGUCGCUCUUCGAGGGCGUCGGGUGCCGUAGAGAAGUCGUUAAGCCCGCCGCCUGGGAAGUACGGUCGCAAGGCUGAAACUUAAAGGAAUUGGCGGGGGAGCACA